UAUUGCACAAUGGGGGAAACCCUGAUGCAGCGACGCCGCGUGAGCGAUGAAGUAUUUCGGUAUGUAAAGCUCUAUCAGCCGGGAAGAAAAUGACGGUACCUGACUAAGAAGCCCAGGCUAACUACGUGCCAGCAGCCGCGGUAAUACGUAGGGGGCAAGCGUUAUCCGGAUUUAAUGGGUGUAAAGGGAGCGUAGACGGCAAUACAAGUCGGAAGUGAAAUACCCGGGCUCAACCUGGGAAAUGCUUUGGAAACUGUAUGGCUGGAGUGCUGGAGAGGUAAGCGGAAUUCCUAGUGUAGCGGUGAAAUGCGUAGAUAUUAGGAGGAACACCAGUGGCGAAGGCGGCUCACUGGACAGUAACUGACGUUGAGGCUCGAAAGCGUGGGGAGCAAACAGG
Molecule: ribosomal RNA, 397 nt
Filed under: uncultured bacterium
Lineage: Bacteria
Description: bacterial SSU rRNA
Rfam family: Bacterial small subunit ribosomal RNA
Source: RNAcentral